Molecule: ribosomal RNA, 253 nt
Filed under: uncultured bacterium
Lineage: Bacteria
Description: partial 16S ribosomal RNA
Rfam family: Bacterial small subunit ribosomal RNA
Source: RNAcentral
UACGUAGGGGGCUAGCGUUGUCCGGAAUCAUUGGGCGUAAAGCGCGUGUAGGCGGUCCGGUAAGUCCGGCUGUGAAAUCUCCGGGCUUAACUCGGAACGGUCAGCUGAUACUGCUUUGCUAGAGUGCAGAAGGGCAAUCGGAAUUCUUGGUGUAGCGGUGAAAUGCGUAGAUAUCGAGAGGAACACCUGCGGCGAAGGCGGGUUGCUGGGCUGAUACUGACGCUGAGGCGCGAAAGCUAGGGGAGCGAACGGG